AUUGAACGCUGGCGGCAUGCUUUACACAUGCAAGUCGAACGGUAACAGGCCGCAAGGUGCUGACGAGUGGCGCACGGGUGAGUAAUGCAUCGGAACGUGCCCAGUCGUGGGGGAUAACUACUCGAAAGAGUAGCUAAUACCGCAUACGAUCUAUGGAUGAAAGCGGGGGACCGUAAGGCCUCGCGCGAUUGGAGCGGCCGAUGUCAGAUUAGGUAGUUGGUGGGGUAAAGGCUCACCAAGCCAACGAUCUGUAGCUGGUCUGAGAGGACGACCAGCCACACUGGGACUGAGACACGGCCCAGACUCCUACGGGAGGCAGCAGUGGGGAAUUUUGGACAAUGGGCGCAAGCCUGAUCCAGCAAUGCCGCGUGCAGGAAGGAGGCCUUCGGGUUGUAAACUGCUUUUGUACGGAACGAAACGGCCCUGGUUAAUACCCGGGGCUAAUGACGGUACCGUAAGAAUAAGCACCGGCUAACUACGUG
RNAcentral lists this ribosomal RNA (482 nucleotides) under uncultured bacterium. RNAcentral describes it as "partial 16S ribosomal RNA". It matches the Rfam family "Bacterial small subunit ribosomal RNA", at positions 30 to 507 of the family's 1533-position model. The record is from RNAcentral.